CAGUAGCCGCGGGAAUACGAAGGGGGCUAGCGUUGUUCGGAAUUACUGGGCGUAAAGCGCACGUAGGCGGAUAUUUAAGUCAGGGGUGAAAUCCCGCAGCUCAACUGCGGAACUGCCUUUGAUACUGGGUAUCUUGAGUAUGGAAGAGGUUAGUGGAAUUGCGAGUGUAGAGGUGAAAUUCGUAGAUAUUCGCAGGAACACCAGUGGCGAAGGCGGCUAACUGGUCCAUAACUGACGCUGAGGUGCGAAAGCGUGGGGAGCAAACAGGAUUAGAUACCCCUGUAGUCCCUGUCUCUUAUAC
Molecule: ribosomal RNA, 301 nt
Filed under: uncultured bacterium
Lineage: Bacteria
Description: partial 16S ribosomal RNA
Rfam family: Bacterial small subunit ribosomal RNA
Source: RNAcentral